UUAUGGGAUAGAGUUUCUAUGGCUUUUUUUUACCCAUUCUUUCAUCAUCAUCAUCUUCAUCCUCUCUCUCUCUCUUUGUAGAGAGAGAAGAGGAGAGAGAAGAGGAGAGAGAGAGAGAAGUGGAAGUGUUGUAAGUUCAGGUCGAAGCCAUGCUUUUCCACAGCUUUCUUGAACUUUCUUCUCUCAAUCAUUUGCAUGCAAAUCUCUCUUAGAAAGUUGAAGAAAGCUGUGGGAGAAGAUGGCAUUUUUAGGCCUUUUCAUACCCUUUCUUGGUUUGGUCGAUCAAGAGCGGACCAAGGUGUCUUUAAAAUUUGAAUGGCGAGGUUGUUCUCUUCCCUUCAUUACAUUACCCUAUUGGUUGGUAUUUGUUUGGAUGCAGAUUUCCAUGUCCUACAUUUCUGUGAAAAAGGUUAAAAUUUGACCCAAUUUUUACAUCAUUUUUUUAACCA
Molecule: long non-coding RNA, 449 nt
Organism: Cucurbita pepo subsp. pepo (vegetable marrow)
Lineage: Eukaryota; Viridiplantae; Streptophyta; Magnoliopsida; Cucurbitales; Cucurbitaceae
Source: RefSeq, a predicted model, not a curated record